RNAcentral lists this ribosomal RNA (865 nucleotides) under uncultured archaeon. RNAcentral's name for it is "SSU rRNA". It matches the Rfam family "Archaeal small subunit ribosomal RNA", at positions 474 to 1337 of the family's 1478-position model. The record is from RNAcentral.
AACCAGCACCUCAAGUGGUCAGGAUGAUUAUUGGGCCUAAAGAAUCCGUAGCCGGCUCUGUAAGUUUUCGGUUAAAUCCGUACGCUUAACGUACAGGCUGCCGGGAAUACUGCAGAGCUAGGUAGUGGGAGAGGUAGACGGUACUCGGGAGGAAGGGGUAAAAUCCUUUGAUCUAUUGAUGACCACCUGUGGCGAAGGCGGUCUACCAGAACACGUACGACGGUGAGGGAUGAAAGCUGGGGGAGCAAACCGGAUUAGAUACCCGGGUAGUCCCAGCUGUAAACUAUGCAAACUCAGUGAUGCAUUGGCUCGCGGCCAAUGCAGUGCUGCAGGGAAGCCGUUAAGUUUGCCGCCUGGGAAGUGCGUACGCAAGUAUGAAACUUAAAGGAAUUGGCGGGGGAGCACCACAAGGGGAGAAGCCUGCGGUUCAAUUGGAGUCAACGCCAGAAAUCUUACCCGGAGAGACAGCAGAAUGAAGGUCAAGCUGAAGACUUUACCAGACAAGCUGAGAGGUGGUGCAUGGCCGUCGCCAGCUCGUGCCGUGAGAUGUCCUGUUAAGUCAGGUAACGAGCGAGAUCCCCGCCUCUAGUUGCCACCAUUACUCUCAGGAGUAGUGGGGCGAAUUAGCGGGUCCCCCGCAGUUAAUGCGGAGGAAGGAAGGGGCCACGGCAGGUCAGUAUGCCCCGAAACUCUGGGGCCACACGCGGGCUGCAAUGGUAACGACAAUGGGUCUUCGAAUUCGAAAGGAUGAGGUAAUCCUCAAACCUUUCCCCAGUUAGGACUGAGGGCUGCAACUCGCCCUCACGAAUAUGGAAUCCCUAGUAUCUGCGUGUCACUAUCGCGCGGUGAAUACGUCCCUGCUCCU